AGAGUUUGAUCCUGGCUCAGAACGAACGCUGGCGGCAGGCUUAACACAUGCAAGUCGAACGCCCCGCAAGGGGAGUGGCAGACGGGUGAGUAACACGUGGGAACGUACCCUUUACUACGGAAUAACGCAGGGAAACUUGUGCUAAUACCGUAUGUGCCCUUCGGGGGAAAGAUUUAUCGGUAAAGGAUCGGCCCGCGUUGGAUUAGCUAGUUGGUGGGGUAAAGGCCUACCAAGGCGACGAUCCAUAGCUGGUCUGAGAGGAUGAUCAGCCACAUUGGGACUGAGACACGGCCCAAACUCCUACGGGAGGCAGCAGUGGGGAAUAUUGGACAAUGGGCGCAAGCCUGAUCCAGCCAUGCCGCGUGAGUGAUGAAGGCCUUAGGGUUGUAAAGCUCUUUCACCGGAGAAGAUAAUGACGGAUCCGAGAAGA
This 430-nucleotide ribosomal RNA is filed under the name uncultured Rhizobium sp. Its description in RNAcentral is "bacterial SSU rRNA". It matches the Rfam family "Bacterial small subunit ribosomal RNA", at positions 8 to 488 of the family's 1533-position model. Lineage: Bacteria; Pseudomonadati; Pseudomonadota; Alphaproteobacteria; Hyphomicrobiales; Rhizobiaceae. The record is from RNAcentral.